CCUACGGGUGGCAGCAGUGGGGAAUAUUGCACAAUGGGGGAAACCCUGAUGCAGCGACGCCGCGUGAGUGAAGAAGUAUUUCGGUAUGUAAAGCUCUAUCAGCAGGGAAGAAAUAGCGACCUUUGGGUCGCCAGACGGUACCUGAUUAAGAAGCCCCGGCUAACUACGUGCCAGCAGCCGCGGUAAUACGUAGGGGGCAAGCGUUAUCCGGAUUUACUGGGUGUAAAGGGAGCGUAGACGGUUACGCAAGUCUGGAGUGAAAGGCGGGAGUGCAAGUCAGAUGUGAAAACUAGGGGCUCAACCCAUAGCCUGCAUUUGAAACUGUACUUCUUGAGUGCUGGAGAGGCAAUCGGAAUGCCGUGUGUAGCGGUGAAAUGCGUAGAUAUACGGAGGAACACCAGUGGCGAAGGCGGAUUGCUGGACAGUAACUGACGCUGAGGCGCGAAAGCGUGGGGAGCAAACAGGAUUAGAUACCCCUGUAGUC
Molecule: ribosomal RNA, 484 nt
Filed under: uncultured bacterium
Lineage: Bacteria
Description: partial 16S ribosomal RNA
Rfam family: Bacterial small subunit ribosomal RNA
Source: RNAcentral